GUAAGACAAGGAGGAAUUAAGGCUCCCAGAGAAGGAAGCCAUGCCUCCAAAGCUCUCUGGGUUCAAGCCUAGCACUUAUUCUACAGAAUGGGUAAUUAAUGGAAGUAUGGAAACAUGGUUAAAGGUGAUAACUCCUUCGGGACAAUGGAUACUGAAAAUUGAUUUUUUUCCUUGCUUUAGUAUCAAAACCACUCUCAUCAUCAAAUGCUGAAUCAUCAUUCUCUUCCUCUUUUUAUUGGCCUUCUUCUAUCAUCAACACUCCUAUACUGAAUUCAGGGGUUGAGGACCAACAAGGAGUGACAUACAUCCACUUGAACAUAGAGAUCCUGAGUAAGGGAAAUCAGUCCCUCUAUGACACCUCAAGAGACUGUAAUAUAUAGAUAACACUGUAGCUUGGUAGUAAGGGGCAAGCAGAGACAUAUGAGUCAUUUGGAAAAUAAACAUGAAAUUCAAACAGAGGGCUAGGGAUUCAAAGUGCAACAUGGGCAUAUGAUUCCAAGCUUGAAUCAUGUGAAGCACUUGAGGGAGAAGGCACCUGGCUUGUGAUAUACCAUGGGCAACUAUAUACUGUUCAAUACCUCCUAACUUUGAUUUAGCAGCUAUACCAAACAAAAACCCUUUUAAAAGCAUUUAAUCUUAGAGUUAUAAAACCACAAUAUAUCUUUCAACAUCUAGUGGCAAAUUCUGAUAGAUGCAUAAGAUAGGACAUCAUUUGCUUCUCUUUCUAUGAAUAUAUCAAAUUGGAAUUGUUUUGUUUUUGAAAAUAUUUGAAAAGGAGGGAGAUUGAAAGAAAUGUCUGGAAUAUAGGUCAAUAUGCUCAUAUUUUUCUUAAUAUUGAAUCAAUCCUGCAUUCCUGGUAUAAAUCCUAUCUGGUCAUAGUGUACAAUUCUUGGGAUAUAUUGCUACAAUCUCCUAGAUAGCAUUUCAUUUAAAAUUUUUGUAUCAAUAUUCAUUAGAGACAUUUAUCUAUAAUUUUCUUUCUCUGCUUUUGCUCUUCCUGUUUAUGUAUUAGCACCAUAUCUGUCUGGCUAAAGGAAUUUGAUAGAACUCUUUCUUUGCCUGUUUUUCCAAAUAGUUGAUAUGAUAUUAGAAUUAAUUGUUCUUGCUUAAUAAAAUUCACUUCCUCUAUCUGGCU
This 1135-nucleotide long non-coding RNA is filed under the name Sarcophilus harrisii (Tasmanian devil). RNAcentral describes it as "lncRNA (ENSSHAG00000031639.1)". The record is from RNAcentral. Lineage: Eukaryota; Metazoa; Chordata; Mammalia; Dasyuromorphia; Dasyuridae.